RNAcentral lists this transfer RNA (68 nucleotides) under Marmota monax (woodchuck). It matches the Rfam family "tRNA". From Rfam's summary of the family: Transfer RNA (tRNA) molecules are approximately 80 nucleotides in length. Their secondary structure includes four short double-helical elements and three loops (D, anti-codon, and T loops). Further hydrogen bonds mediate the characteristic L-shaped molecular structure. tRNAs have two regions of fundamental functional importance: the anti-codon, which is responsible for specific mRNA codon recognition, and the 3' end, to which the tRNAs corresponding amino acid is attached (by aminoacyl-tRNA synthetases). tRNAs cope with the degeneracy of the genetic code in two manners: having more than one tRNA (with a specific anti-codon) for a particular amino acid; and 'wobble' base-pairing, i.e. permitting non-standard base-pairing at the 3rd anti-codon position. Lineage: Eukaryota; Metazoa; Chordata; Mammalia; Rodentia; Sciuridae. The record is from Rfam by way of RNAcentral.
GGCAUUGUGGCUCAGUGGUAGAGUGCUCACCUAGCACUGGUGGGACCUGAGUUCAAUUCUCAGCACCA